This 337-nucleotide unclassified non-coding RNA is filed under the name soil metagenome. RNAcentral describes it as "partial contains 5.8S ribosomal RNA, internal transcribed spacer 2, and large subunit ribosomal RNA". The stretch from base 1 to 120 matches the Rfam family "5.8S ribosomal RNA", at positions 35 to 154 of the family's 154-position model. The record is from RNAcentral.
GAUGAAGAACGUAGUGAAAUGCGAUAAGUAAUGUGAAUUGCAGAAUUCAGUGAAUCAUCGAAUCUUUGAACGCACAUUGCGCCCGCCAGUAUUCUGGCGGGCAUGCCUGUUCGAGCGUCAUUUCAACCAUCAAGCCCCCGGGCUUGUGUUGGGGACCUGCGGCUGCCCGCAGGCCCUGAAAACCAGUGGCGGGCUCGCUGUCACACCGAGCGUAGUAGCAUCAUCUCGCUCAGGGCGUGCUGCGGGUUCCGGCCGUUAAAAAGCCUCUAAUACCCAAGGUUGACCUCGGAUCAGGUAGGAAGACCCGCUGAGCUUAAGCAUAUCAAUAAGCGGAGGA